RNAcentral lists this non-coding RNA (104 nucleotides) under bovine gut metagenome. The record is from RNAcentral.
GGGAGUGCUUAAGUUGGUUAGGCUGAGAGACGGUGCGGACAUCGUCAAUCCUAUGGGUUAACCCAGAACCUGAUCCGGAUAAUGCCGGCGUAGGGAGUAUGAUU